UGAACGCUGGCGGCGUGCUUAACACAUGCAAGUCGAACGAACCUUCGGGUUAGUGGCGGACGGGUGAGUAACGCGUGAGAAUCUGCCCUCAGGAGGGGGAUAACAGCUGGAAACGGCUGCUAAUACCCCAUAUGCCGCGAGGUGAAAUGAAUUUCGCCUGAGGAUGAGCUCGCGUCUGAUUAGCUAGUUGGUGUAGGUAAUGGCUCACCAAGGCAUCGAUCAGUAGCUGGUCUGAGAGGAUGAUCAGCCACACUGGGACUGAGACACGGCCCAGACUCCUACGGGAGGCAGCAGUGGGGAAUUUUCCGCAAUGGGCGAAAGCCUGACGGAGCAACGCCGCGUGAGGGAUGAAGGCCUCUGGGCUGUAAACCUCUUUUAUCAAGGAAGAAGAUCUGACGGUACUUGAUGAAUAAGCCACGGCUAAUUC
RNAcentral lists this ribosomal RNA (427 nucleotides) under uncultured bacterium. RNAcentral's name for it is "bacterial SSU rRNA". It matches the Rfam family "Bacterial small subunit ribosomal RNA", at positions 30 to 503 of the family's 1533-position model. The record is from RNAcentral.